UGCUAGUCAACAUCGACUGCUUGUGUGAGUGGAUAACGUUGAUGUGAAUUCUUUAUCUCUGGCUGUAAAUGUUUGCUCCCUCAAUCCACAUCAAAACUAAAAAAAGAAUAUCUUCUUAUUGCAGAAAUCUGUCUGUGGCUCGCAUAUCUCGAGAACCGUUCAUCCUAUUGGCUUCACACUUGGUCAUGUUUAUUAUUAAAGGCCCCAAAAGUGCCUCAUUGAGAUUGGUGUGAUUUGCAUUACAAUCAAUUCAAUAUCAAUACAAUUUGAGGAAACAGGUGACCAGCGAUCUGCAGCAGCAGUGGCUGGUAGUCAUCAACGGGAGGUGAGAGCGUUGAUCACGACAGCACGUUCACAGCGACGACAACUGAUUCUCCAGUUCAAGGUUCUGUGUGACUUCACCCGACUUUGAACAAACAGGAUUCAGCCGAUGCUGCUGUGGCAGCUGGAGCGGCACGAGAGGGUCUGGAAAGGACGGCUGUAGCUAAUGAAGAGAGAUGUAGAAGAGGAGGAGGACGGCAGCCAGCAUGCUGCUGCGGGGGAGCCAGCUUGAGCAGAAGCAACAGAGCCACUGGGGAUUCCUCCACCCCACACUUUAACAUGGAGCCUUCAGGGAAGGAGAGGUGUCGUGCUUGCUUAAGGAGGUGCUAACCUCACCAUCUUGUGCAGUUCUCAGUGACAGAGGGAGAAGGACUUGCCCUGAGUGAAGGAGCUUGUGGCGAGCUCAUCGAUCAAAGACCGGGAAAUGUCAGGUGGCAAGUACAAGGCAGAGUUGGGGUUUUUUUGCGCAAUAUGCUGGAGCUACACCUCACAAGCUAUUACUGUGAAUACGAAUUUAUUCUGUCAUAUAUACAAUUAAAACAGAGGUUAGAAAAAUGA
Molecule: long non-coding RNA, 879 nt
Organism: Hippoglossus stenolepis (Pacific halibut)
Lineage: Eukaryota; Metazoa; Chordata; Actinopteri; Pleuronectiformes; Pleuronectidae
Exons: 3
Source: RefSeq, a predicted model, not a curated record